ACGGAACGGAGCUAUACGAUAAUAUUUGAACCGCAUGGUUCAAAGUAGAAAGACGGUCUUGCUGUCACUUAUAGANUGGAUCCGCGCUGCAUUAGCUAGUUGGUAAGGUAACGGCUUACCAAGGCAACGAUGCAUAGCCGACCUGAGAGGGUGAUCGGCCACACUGGAACUGAGACACGGUUCAGACUCCUACGGGAGGCAGCAGCC
RNAcentral lists this ribosomal RNA (207 nucleotides) under uncultured Staphylococcus sp. RNAcentral's name for it is "partial 16S ribosomal RNA". It matches the Rfam family "Bacterial small subunit ribosomal RNA", at positions 155 to 355 of the family's 1533-position model. Lineage: Bacteria; Bacillati; Bacillota; Bacilli; Caryophanales; Staphylococcaceae. The record is from RNAcentral.